UACGUAGGGACCAAGCGUUGUUCGGAUUUACUGGGCGUAAAGGGCGCGUAGGCGGCUCAAUAAGUCACUUGUGAAAUCUCCGGGCUUAACUCGGAGCGGCCAAGUGAUACUGUUGUGCUAGAGUGCAGAAAGGGCAAUCGGAAUUCUCGGUGUAGCGGUGAAAUGCGUAGAUAUCGAGAGGAACACCUGAGGCGAAGGCGGGUUGCUAGGCUGACACUGACGCUGAGGCGCGAAAGCUAGGGUAGCAAACGGG
Molecule: ribosomal RNA, 253 nt
Filed under: uncultured bacterium
Lineage: Bacteria
Description: partial 16S ribosomal RNA
Rfam family: Bacterial small subunit ribosomal RNA
Source: RNAcentral